CCACACUGACCAAUUUGGCCUGGUUGAGUUUUGGUUCGUCCUCCUGAUGCUGAAAAUUACUUUUUAAGAGGUCUGGAUUAACGUACAAGUUUAAUUCAUUAUCAUUUACUAAGCUGUGAUUAGUGCCCCAAAGAAGAAUGAAAGUAUCAACUUGAGAUAAAACACCGGAAUUAGAAUCAGAAUCAGUUGUCAACUUGGAAAGGAAAACAUCACUCACCAGUUCGUUAGUGUUACCAGUUCAUUCAUUCAUUUUAAAAGAAAGGUUUUUGCACGACAAUUAUUUAGUGUUACCAAUCGAUUCAUAUUAAAAAGACAAUUAUAUAGCGUUAUCGAUCGAUUCAUGUUAAAAUUAAAAAGCUUGCAUAUUAAAACAUGUGGAUUAAUAACCUUCCGACUAAACCAUUUUCUCAUCUAGUGGAUAGGAUCAAAUUUCAACUAACUGGAGGGCAAUGGGCCAAAUAACUAAAUCCCAUUCCACUUGCGAGGAUUGUGCCGCGUGGAGUCUCUACAAGAGAAGAGCUGAGUCACCCUCCAUUCGAUUCGCCUUCACAAUCACAAAAAUUCACCAAAAAACACAACACACAUGACAUGACGCCGCCUCUUCUCUUCCUCUUCCUCUUCCUCUUCCGUCUACGAUCCCUUCUGUAACUGGUACCUUCCUUCUUCUUGAUGCUCGUCGCCUCUUAGCUGGUUGGUUUGGUUGUAUUUUGGCUUUUCGUUUCAUGCGUUGCUUUCCUCCUCCAGUUCUAUCGAAACUUCAAUCCCAAAACUCCCACAUUCUCAUUGCAUCAUCAUAUAUUCCUUUGAUUUGGAUUUGAUUUUUAAUAUUUUGUUUCUGUUCCUCCACUCCUUUGACGUCGUCUUGGAUUUUUUUUAAAGAAAAAAGAAAGCUUUUUUUUUUCAGAGGUUUGAGAGUGGAGAUUCAAUGAUUCUUCAUCAUAAUCAUCUUCUCCUUCGUCAAUGACUUAGAAUAUACCAAUUUCGUUUAUUUAUUUUUAAUUAAAAACAAAAACCCAAAACAAAGAUUCAAUUUUUUUCUUUCUUUUUAUUAUUCUAUUCAUUUUUUGUUUGUUUUGUGUGCUUAAUGAUCACGAAGAAAAAACCUAUUUAAGAAGUGGGUUGAUAAGGGGCCAAAGUUCAUAGUUGUUGUGGUGACAACUUGGAAGGAUGAGAGCGAGAGUGAUAGUGUUUCCUGUUAGAGGGAGGAACUGGUGCUUCAGCAGAUCCAUUCAGCCUCUGGUUUCAGACUCUGCCUCUCAUAUUCCUUCAACUCUCAAAGACCUCUGGAAAAAGCUCUCCUUCUCUUCCAAAACCAAUGCCAAUGCCAAUGCCAACCCUUUUGCUGCCAACGCUGAGCUCGUCGUUGAUUUUGUCUCUACCAAGAUGAACAAUGCCUGGAUGGGGCUGGAGAAGGCGCCUCAGGGAACUUUUAAAAACAAGC
Molecule: non-coding RNA, 1441 nt
Organism: Prunus avium (sweet cherry)
Lineage: Eukaryota; Viridiplantae; Streptophyta; Magnoliopsida; Rosales; Rosaceae
Source: RefSeq, a predicted model, not a curated record